RNAcentral lists this ribosomal RNA (403 nucleotides) under Actinomycetes bacterium. RNAcentral's name for it is "Actinobacteria bacterium partial 16S ribosomal RNA". It matches the Rfam family "Bacterial small subunit ribosomal RNA", at positions 355 to 776 of the family's 1533-position model. The record is from RNAcentral. Lineage: Bacteria; Bacillati; Actinomycetota; Actinomycetes.
UGGGGAAUAUUGGACAAUGGGCGCAAGCCUGAUCCAGCCAUGCCGCGUGAGUGAUGAAGGCCCUAGGGUUGUAAAGCUCUUUCACCGGUGAAGAUAAUGACGGUAACCGGAGAAGAAGCCCCGGCUAACUUCGUGCCAGCAGCCGCGGUAAUACGAAGGGGGCUAGCGUUGUUCGGAUUUACUGGGCGUAAGCGCACGUAGGCGGACUUUUAAGUCAGGGGUGGAAUCCCGGGGCUCAACCCCGGAACUGCCUUUGAUACUGGAAGUCUUGAGUAUGGUAGAGGUGAGUGGAAUUCCGAGUGUAGAAGUGAAAUUCGUAGAUAUUCGGAGGAACACCAGUGGCGAAGGCGGCUCACUGGACCAUUACUGACGCUGAGGUGCGAAAGCGUGGGGAGCAAACAGG